This is a long non-coding RNA of Oncorhynchus keta (chum salmon), 841 nucleotides long. RefSeq lists it as uncharacterized. The transcript has 3 exons. NCBI's taxonomy places the organism in Eukaryota, Metazoa, Chordata, Actinopteri, Salmoniformes, Salmonidae. The record is from RefSeq and is a predicted model, not a curated record.
UUUAGCUAACAUAUGCAUCAAACUGGAUGCAAAGACAGCUUGACAGAAAUGGUAGCAGAAGUUGAAUGUUAAACUUGUGUUGCACACAUAUCUAGGGGCUCCCGAGUGGCGCAGCGGUCUAAGGCUCUGCAUCUCAGUGUUAGAGGUCUUACUACAGACCCUGGUUCGAUUCCAGGCUGUAUCACAACCGGCCGUGAUUGGGAGUCCCAUAGGGCGGCGCACAAUUAGCCCAGCAUUGUCUGGGUUAGGGUUUGGGGUAGGCCGUCAUUGUAAAUAAGAAUUUGUUCUUCACCAACAGACAAGGACAGGUCAGUUCUAGGCUGAGGAACAGACAAGGACAGGUCAGUUCUAGGCUGAGGAACAAACAAGGACAGGUCAGUUCUAGGCUGAGGAACAGACAAGGACAGGUCAGUUCUAGGCUGAGGAACAGACAAGGACAGGUCAGUUCUAGCCUGAGGAACAGACAAGGACAGGUCAGUUCUAGGAACAGACAAGGACAGGUCAGUUCUAGGAACAGACAAGGACAGGUCAGUUCUAGCCUGAGGAACAGACAAGGACAGGUCAGUUCUAGGCUGAGGAACAGACAAGGACAGGUCAGUUCUAGGCUGAGGAACAGACAAGGACAGGUCAGUUCUAGGCUGAGGAACAGACAAGGACAGGUCAGUUCUAGGCUGAGGAACAGACAAUGACAGGUCAGUUCUAGGCUGAGGAACAGACAAUGACAGGUCAGUUCUAGGCUGAGGAACAGACAAGGACAGGUCAGUUCUAGCCUGAGGAACAGACAAGGACAGGUCAGUUCUAGGCUGAGGAACAGACAAGGACAGGUCAGUUCUAGCCUGAG